GUACCGCAAGCCGAAGAAGGCGAGGAGUACUACACGGGAUCAGGAAGAGAGCUAUACAACAACACGGAGAACUAGAUAGACAUAAGUGCUGUAAGUAAAGAUGCUGAUAAGUAAGAAGCUGACAAAUAUAGAUGCAGGUAAAUAAAACAGUAGCUACAAUAAACAGAUAAGGAAUGUACUGAAAAUAAACACUACAGCUACUGUAUGCAUGCGUCAACUGACGAUAAGCCAAAAGUACCAAUCUCACUGCCCUAUUGGUCCGAAGACCUCCGGCCCAUGCCACACUGCUCAACCU
RNAcentral lists this long non-coding RNA (295 nucleotides) under Ananas comosus (pineapple). RNAcentral's name for it is "long non-coding RNA (ACOM_LNC019608)". The record is from RNAcentral. Lineage: Eukaryota; Viridiplantae; Streptophyta; Magnoliopsida; Poales; Bromeliaceae.